UGAAUACGAGAUGCUACGGCGUCGAAGCAGUCUAUGUCAUACUUCCAAGAAAAGCUUGCACUGUCAUAAACAAAUAAUGCCUGUACCAUAACCGACACAGGUGGGUAGGUAGAGUAUACUAAGGGGCGCGAGAUAACUCUCUCUAAGGAACUCGGCAAAAUGACUCCGUAACUUCGGGAGAAGGAGUGCCUUAUUUAUAAGGUUGCAAUAACAAGAUCCAAGCAACUGUUUACCAAAAACACAGGUCUCCGCUAAGUCGUAAGACGAUGUAUGGGGGCUGACGCCUGCCCAGUGCCAGAAGGUUAAAGAAGUUGGUUAGCAUCCGCGAAGCUGAUAACUGAAGCCCUGGUGAACGGCGGCCGUAACAAUAACGGUCCUAAGGUAGCGAAAUUCCUUGUCGGGUAAGUUCCGACCCACACGAAAGGCGUAAUGAUUUGGAUACUGUCUCGGAGAGGGGCUCGGUGAAAUAGACUUGUCUGUGAAGAUGCGGACUACCUGCACCAGGACAGAAAGACCCUAUGAAGCUUUACUGUAACCUGAAAUUGAAAUUGGACUUUACUUGCGCAGUAUAGGUGGGAGGCGUUGAGAAUAUUCUUGCGGGAUUAUUGGAGCCAUCAGUGAGAUACCACUCUUGUAAUGUUAGAUUUCUGACUUUGUAUCAUUAUCUGGUCAAAGAACAGUUUCAGGCGGGCAGUUUGACUGGGGCGGUCGCCUCCUAAACGGUAACGGAGGCGCACAAAGGUUUCCUCUGAACGGGUAGAAAUCGUAUCUAGAGUGUAAAGGCAUAAGGAAGCUUGACUGUGAGACCUACAAGUCGAGCAGGCACGAAAGUCGGUCUUAGUGAUCUGACGGUGCUGAGUGGAAAGGCCGUCACUCAACGGAUAAAAGUUACUCUAAGGAUAACAGGCUGAUCUCCCCCAAGAGUUCACAUCGACGGGGAGGUUUGGCACCUCGAUGUCGGCUCAUCGCAUCCUGGGGCGGUAGUACGUCCCAAGGGUUGGGCUGUUCGCCCAUGAAAGCGGUACGCGAGCUGGGUUCAGAACGUCGUGAGACAGUUCGGUCCAUAUCCGGUGUAGGCGUUAGAAUAUUGAGAGGAGCCUUCUUUAGUACGAGAGGACCGAGAAGGACAUACCUCUGGUGUACCAGUUAUCGUGCCAACGGUAAACGCUGGGUAGCUAUGUGUGGAGUGGAUAACCGCUGAAAGCAUCUAAGUGGGAAGCCCACCUCAAGAUAAG
RNAcentral lists this ribosomal RNA (1235 nucleotides) under metagenome. RNAcentral's name for it is "bacterial LSU rRNA". It matches the Rfam family "Bacterial large subunit ribosomal RNA", at positions 1564 to 2808 of the family's 2925-position model. The record is from RNAcentral.